AUGUACCUACGUACAUUCCGGUUCCUCCGUGCCGUCCACACCCACCUGACGACUGCUCGCUACGUUUUGUCAGCC
This 75-nucleotide small RNA is filed under the name Xanthomonas campestris. Its description in RNAcentral is "sX9 sRNA". It matches the Rfam family "Xanthomonas sRNA sX9". RNAcentral also lists the same sequence under 1 other name. The record is from RNAcentral. Lineage: Bacteria; Pseudomonadati; Pseudomonadota; Gammaproteobacteria; Lysobacterales; Lysobacteraceae.